RNAcentral lists this long non-coding RNA (982 nucleotides) under Trifolium pratense (red clover). RNAcentral describes it as "long non-coding RNA (TPRA_LNC003617)". The record is from RNAcentral. Lineage: Eukaryota; Viridiplantae; Streptophyta; Magnoliopsida; Fabales; Fabaceae.
AAAGAAUUGCUGUCUUCUGGAAUGCCUGAACAAGUACAAUCAGGCAUGUAACCGCUUGUGAAUAAUGCAGCUGCUGCUAAUAUGCCUUUGUCCCAAUAGACGGCUUCUUCACAAUAAAAAUAUAUAGGGGUCUGGGAGGUAUGUCCACUUCUUUUUUAAACCUAGAUUAAAGUUUAUCUCUCUGAUUUUACAGUGUCUAGAAGUUUCUCAAGAAUUUCAGUUUGUUCUAGACUUUCAGUAUAUAAUUUGUUUUUCUUGUUAAAUUGGCCACACAAAUCUUUCAUUAGCAAUUCAUUUUGUUUAGUACCAGAGAGAGAUAUAGGGCCCUUAAUCGAAUGAGAACAGAAAACCUACAUGGGCAGAAAAUCUACAUGGUUUUAAAUUCAAUACAAUAGGAUGUCCCUGAUGGAUAAUAUGAUAUUUGAACCUAUACUGUUAAAUAAAACAGGAGGAUGAUGGUACUAUGCCCCAACGAGAUCUAAACUUCGAUAACCCUAUUGAAUUGACGGUAUAGGUGGUUGAAAUGAUGGAUUCAUAACAUAAAAUGCAUGUUAUGACGACCCUUAAUCGAAUUAGAAUUGAAAACACAUAGUUUUAAAUUCAAUACAAUAGAAUCGGAUGUCCCUGAAUAGAUGGAUUGUAUUGUGUCUCGAUGACCCUAUUGAAUUGACGGUAUCGGUGGUUGAAAUGAUGCAUUCAUAACAUAAAAUGCAUGUUAUGACGACCCUUAAUCGAAUGAGAAUAAAAAACUUACAUGGUUUUAAAUUCAAUACAAUAGUCCCUGAUGGAUAAUGUUAUAUUUGAAAAUUCAAUACAAUAGUCCCUGAUGGAUAAUAUGAUAUUUGAACCUAUAUAGUUCAAUAAAAUGGGAGGAUGAUGAUACUGUGCCCCAACGAGAUCUAAACUUGGAUAAAUUGAAUUGACGGCAAAAAGUAGAUGUAUUGUGUCUCGAUGACCCUAUUGAAUUUACGGUAUCAGAGGC